GUGACUUCAUGUUGUGUCUUUUCCUGGGACCAGCCCAUUCCUGCUUGGUGCAGACACAAAGAGCAUCCCCUCGUAUUGCAACUUGCAUCGGCCAUGAGCUCCCUCUCUAUCUAUGAGGACCAGAGUCAACAUCAGCCUUUAGAAUUCAGCCUCUCCACUCGCAGGGAAAAGACUUUGUCAAAGGUGCAGUUGCCAAACACCUGUGACUUCAUGCUUGUCUUUUUCAGCUUUGUUGUAGAUUUUAAGUUAUCACAAUCAAGCACAUUUAACUUUAACUAAAGAUGAGGAUUCCACACCCCUAUCCUCCACUUCCCCAGAGGACCAGUCCAAGGUCAUAGGUACCCUCUCCUCCCCCUCCUCUCAAUACCUGGUGCAUUCCGUUUUAGGAGAGGGCUCUUAUGGAAAAGUCACCAAGUGUGUGAAUAUGGAAACCAGGAAGCCGGUGGCUUUAAAAAUAUUCAAGAAUAGAAACAUCACUCCUGAAAAAGAGACAGAGGUGCUCACUCUCAAACUCCUUAGCGAUUUUGAUCCAGACACGUUCAACUUUGUGAGAUGGAACUUUUUUUUGUUGAGUAUGAAAUGCUGGACUAGACUGUAUGAUUUCCUGAAGGACAGGAAGGAAGGAAAUACGCCCUGUCCUACAUCAGAUGGCCACUACUUUGCAACUCCUGAAACGCCUAGGAAUUGUACACACAUCUCAAGACAGACAACAUCAUGUUGGUGGACCAUGCAUACUAGCCAUUCAGGAUCAAAGUGAGUGACUUUGGUUGGCCCUUUCCCCAAUGUCACAGUAGCCCUGGGGUAUUGCGCUACUUCCCUACAGGUCUCCAGAGACGAUCCUGGGACUUCCGGUAACAUAGACAUUUGGUCUCUGGGCUGCAUUGCUGCAGAGUUGUUCCUUGGCACCAUACUUUACUCUGAAAGAUGUGAAUACGAAAUGGUAAUUAAAUUACAUUUACAUUAAUUUAGCUGAUGCUUUUGUUCAAAGCAACCUGCAAUCAUCGAGGCAGGUUGCAUUAAGGACCCAAACUGGGAACCCACUAAGCUACACCAGCUGCAGCUGGUCAGUGUUACAAUUAGAAUAUAUCAAAUUAUUGUCUUAAAUACG
This is a long non-coding RNA of Scophthalmus maximus (turbot), 1108 nucleotides long. RefSeq lists it as uncharacterized. Lineage: Eukaryota; Metazoa; Chordata; Actinopteri; Pleuronectiformes; Scophthalmidae. The record is from RefSeq and is a predicted model, not a curated record. The transcript is spliced from 3 exons.